GAGUCUUCGGACUGCGGAAGAGUGGCGAACGGGUGAGGAACACGUAAGAAUCUGCCCCUCGGUCGGGGACAACUCUUGGAAACGAGAGCUAAUACCCGAUACGCUGUGGAGUGAAAGAAUUUCGCCGAGGGAUGAUCUUGCGUCUGAUUAGCUAGUUGGUGUGGUAACUGCACACCAAGGCGACGAUCAGUAGCUGGUCUGAGAGGAUGGACAGCCACAUUGGAACUGAGACACGGUCCAAACUCCUACGGGAGGCAGCAGUGGGGAAUUUUCCGCAAUGGACGAAAGUCUGACGGAGCGACGCUGCGUGAAGGAUGACGGCCCGCGGGUUGUAAACUUCUUUUCUCGAAGAAGAAACAAAUGACGGUAUUCGAGGAAUAAGCAUCGGCUAACUCCGUGCCAGCAGCCGCGGUAAGACGGAGGAUGCAAGUGUUAUUCGGAAUGAUUGGGCGUAAAGAGUCUGUAGGCUGUAUAGAAAGUCUUUUGUUAAAUUCCUCGGCUCAACCGAGAUCAAGCAAAGGAAACUUCUAUACUUGAGGGAAGUAGAGGUACAGGGAAUUCCCGGUGGAGCGGUGAAAUGCG
This 582-nucleotide ribosomal RNA is filed under the name uncultured Micromonas. RNAcentral describes it as "bacterial SSU rRNA". It matches the Rfam family "Bacterial small subunit ribosomal RNA", at positions 74 to 690 of the family's 1533-position model. Lineage: Eukaryota; Viridiplantae; Chlorophyta; Mamiellophyceae; Mamiellales. The record is from RNAcentral.